This 274-nucleotide ribosomal RNA is filed under the name uncultured bacterium. RNAcentral's name for it is "partial 16S ribosomal RNA". It matches the Rfam family "Bacterial small subunit ribosomal RNA", at positions 523 to 796 of the family's 1533-position model. The record is from RNAcentral.
AUACGGAGGGUGCAAGCGUUAUCCGGAUUUAUUGGGUUUAAAGGGUGCGCAGGCGGACCUGUCAGUCAGUGGUGAAAUCCCGGGGCUCAACCCCGGAACUGCCAUUGAUACUACAGGUCUUGAAUACGGUUGAAGUAGGCGGAAUGUAGCAUGUAGCGGUGAAAUGCAUAGAUAUGCUACAGAACACCGAUCGCGAAGGCAGCUUACUAAGCCGAUAUUGACGCUCAGGCACGAAAGCGUGGGUAGCGAACAGGAUUAGAAACCCCGGUAGUCC